CAACAGGGAGCAUGGGUUUAUUUGAAGCACGNGAAGACCNUACCUAGGCUUACAUGUANAGACGAUGCCAGAAAUGGAUUUUCCGCAAGGACCUCUAUACAGGUGCUGCAUGGCUGUNGUCAGCUCGUGCCGUGAGGUGUUGGGUUAAGUCCCGCAACGAGCGCAACCCUUAUCGUUAGUUGCCAACAGUAAGAUGGGGACUCUAACGAGACUGCCUGGGUGAACCAGGAGGAAGGUGAGGAUGACGUCAAGUCCGCAUGGCCCUUAUGCCUAGGGCUACACACGUGCUACAAUGGUCGGUACAGAAGGCAGCAAAGCCGCGAGGUGGAGCAAAUCCGCGAAAACCGAUCUCAGUUCGAAUUGUAGUCUGCAACUCGACUACAUGAAGUUGGAAUUGCUAGUAAUGGCGUGUCAGCAACAACGCCGUGAAUACGUUCCCGGGUCUUGUACACACCGCCCGUCACAUCAUGGAAGUUGGUUUUACCCGAAGUCACUGACUCAACCGUAAGGGGAGAGGGCCGAAGGGAGGCCGAGAUGG
RNAcentral lists this ribosomal RNA (538 nucleotides) under uncultured bacterium. RNAcentral describes it as "bacterial SSU rRNA". It matches the Rfam family "Bacterial small subunit ribosomal RNA", at positions 927 to 1474 of the family's 1533-position model. The record is from RNAcentral.